UCAGAAGUAGCAAUUUUGGCCAACUUUGCCAGAUAAUUAUGAUCAACAUCUCCUUUAUCCAGAGCUUGAAUUGCCACUGACAUCACUUGAAACAAACCAGCUAUAUUCCCAAACCUCCGUCUUCCACCUCUUGAUACUGUUAGGCAACAAUCAAGAACCAGAAGUGGAUUUAAGAAAGUUAUCUCCUUUAGAGCAGCCAUUGAUGCUUCUCGUACAAUAAGUGAAUCAUCCGCCAAUGAGGACACCAGAACUUGAACUGCCUCGGCGGCAGGAACAGAGUUGCCGGAGCUAGAAGACGCCAUGAAUUUAGGAAGGGGAUAACAGAG
This 326-nucleotide unclassified non-coding RNA is filed under the name Hevea brasiliensis (rubber tree). The record is from RNAcentral. Lineage: Eukaryota; Viridiplantae; Streptophyta; Magnoliopsida; Malpighiales; Euphorbiaceae.